UACGGAGGGUGCGAGCGUUGUCCGGAAUCAUUGGGCGUAAAGGGCGCGUAGGUGGCCGAGUAAGCGUGCGGUGAAAGCUCGGGCGUCAACCCCGAGUCGGCCGUGCGAACUACUCAGCUCGAGCACUGUAGAGGCAGGCGGAAUUCCGGGUGUAGCGGUGGAAUGCGUAGAGAUCCGGAAGAACACCGGUGGCGAAGGCGGCCAUCGUGGACCGAGUACGUGACGCUGAGGCGCGGACAGCGUGGGAGCAAACGAGG
Molecule: ribosomal RNA, 257 nt
Filed under: uncultured bacterium
Lineage: Bacteria
Description: partial 16S ribosomal RNA
Rfam family: Bacterial small subunit ribosomal RNA
Source: RNAcentral